Armigeres subalbatus is the source of this 1159-nucleotide long non-coding RNA. RefSeq lists it as uncharacterized. The record is from RefSeq and is a predicted model, not a curated record. Lineage: Eukaryota; Metazoa; Arthropoda; Insecta; Diptera; Culicidae. The transcript has 3 exons.
GAUAAGUUUGGCGAACGAAUCGAGGCCGUCACCGCGUUCUGCUCUUGCCCGGAGACUGCGUUGUUGGAAAGCGUUUCGCGUAUCCACGUUACGUCUAUUGUCGUCGUCGUCGGUGAAAACAAAUUCCUGUACAUUAUUUUGGGGACGAUCAGCUGAAGGAUAUAAAGCUCAAUUUGAUAUCAGUGCGGGGGGGUUGGAGUAAAGGGAGACCUAAACCGUGAUUUGAGAAGAUAAUCAAAUACCGUUUCGUUUCGAAUUAGUUAAAAUCCUACGUGGAACUCCAGCCAGCCAGCAGUGCCCUUGUGUGUGGAAUUCAACGGUGCAAAAGAUUGUGAAAAAUCCCGAUCGUGAAGUGAAAAUCUAAUCGAUUCUUGUGCUCAAUCGUGUUCACCUAGCGGCCGCUAUCGUUCACUGCAGGGCCGUGAGGUGGAAAAGUGCACUUCAGUGACUCACAUCGCAACGAUUCACAUCGGGGCUGGCCUCGAUCACCGAACGAGUCAUUGGAAAUAAAUUACCGUCACGGCGCUGAGAAUACCUCUUGGCAAAUAAAGGUUCUGUUCAUUCAUCAGCGCCCGGGUGGUGUGAUAUACUACGAGUUGGGGUUACAUAUUUUACUGAUGAUUAAUCGUGCGUUGUUUUCGAUACGGUCGUGAUUGAAGCGGGCUUAGGAAUUAGGAAUGUGCACAAUUUUUCCUCCCACUAUUCGGAGCUUAGUGGUUGACAUAGUUCAUAUCGAUGUUCAUGAGCGAAGAAUCACCCGAAACAGCAGCAAAAUGUUAUGAAAUGUUCAUGUGCCAUUGACUUUUUUUUCUCCUCGACUUAAGCUACUUAACGUGAAGAAGUGCUAUGUUUUUGUUUUUGAACAAAUGAUCAAGGUAUCGGCGAUUGCGUGUAUUUGUGUACACGAAGUAUCUACGUGCAGUGAGUAAAUAACUUCGACUUCCAGUAGUCAGUGUUUCGGUUGGAGCUGCAGUGUAAUCGAAACAAAUUGAAUGCUGAUUGAUGUGUGGACGAGAAUUGCUAUACAGCUGGUGAGUUGGGAAAUGCAGUUCAAGAUGCAUUCGUCAUCGCGGUUGAACAGCAAGCAAGGGAAAGACUGCAGCGUCUGUCGGCUCUCAAGCGGAUUACUCCGGUUGACAUGUCGCAACUGUCUAUAAAG